This 229-nucleotide ribosomal RNA is filed under the name uncultured bacterium. RNAcentral describes it as "partial 16S ribosomal RNA". It matches the Rfam family "Bacterial small subunit ribosomal RNA", at positions 118 to 347 of the family's 1533-position model. The record is from RNAcentral.
UGAGCAAUCUGCCCUUCACACUGGGAUAACCCCCGGAAACGGGAGCUAAUACCGGAUACGACCACUUCAGGCAUCUGACGGUGGUGGAAAGUUCUGGCGGUGAAGGAUGAGCUCGCGGCCUAUCAGCUUGUUGGUGAGGUAAUGGCUCACCAAGGCUUCGACGGGUAGCCGGCCUGAGAGGGUGACCGGCCACACUGGGACUGAGACACGGCCCAGACUCCUACGGGAG